GACGAACGCUGGCGGCGUGCUUAACACAUGCAAGUCGAACGGAAAGGCCCUGCUUUUGUGGGGUGCUCGAGUGGCGAACGGGUGAGUAACACGUGAGUAACCUGCCCUUGACUUUGGGAUAACUUCAGGAAACUGGGGCUAAUACCGGAUAGGAGCUCCUGCUGCGUGGGGGGGUUGGAAAGUUUCGGCGGUUGGGGAUGGACUCGCGGCUUAUCAGCUUGUUGGUGGGGUAGUGGCUUACCAAGGCUUUGACGGGUAGCCGGCCUGAGAGGGUGACCGGCCACAUUGGGACUGAGAUACGGCCCAGACUCCUACGGGAGGCAGCAGUGGGGAAUAUUGCACAAUGGGCGGAAGCCUGAUGCAGCAACGCCGCGUGCGGGAUGACGGCCUUCGGGUUGUAAACCGCUUUCGCCUGUGACGAAGCGUGAGUGACGGUAAUGGGUAAAGAAGCACCGGCUAACUACGUG
RNAcentral lists this ribosomal RNA (467 nucleotides) under uncultured bacterium. RNAcentral's name for it is "partial 16S ribosomal RNA". It matches the Rfam family "Bacterial small subunit ribosomal RNA", at positions 28 to 507 of the family's 1533-position model. The record is from RNAcentral.